AGACACUUCCCGGUGCCGUUCGGAAUUGAUGGAAAAUCUCAGAAUGGGAGGGUGAGACAAGCGUGACACCCAAGCGUCGAGGAUUGAAAUCGUGGAAACACUUUGUGUUGGAGGUCCCAGAAAACAGGAGCAUUACCACAGACAAAAGAAAUUACUCAGGAUGUCACAAACAGCAGGCAAACAACAUGGAAACAGAGGAGAAAGACAAAGACGAGGCACUGACAAGGCUAAAAAAAGGCAACAGAUCU
Long non-coding RNA from Brienomyrus brachyistius, 248 nucleotides. RefSeq lists it as uncharacterized. The transcript is spliced from 3 exons. The record is from RefSeq and is a predicted model, not a curated record. NCBI's taxonomy places the organism in Eukaryota, Metazoa, Chordata, Actinopteri, Osteoglossiformes, Mormyridae.